This 213-nucleotide ribosomal RNA is filed under the name uncultured bacterium. RNAcentral's name for it is "partial 16S ribosomal RNA". It matches the Rfam family "Bacterial small subunit ribosomal RNA", at positions 1280 to 1500 of the family's 1533-position model. The record is from RNAcentral.
AGCCGUUCUCAGUUCGGAUCGGAGUCUGCAACCCGACNCCGUGAAGCUGGAUUCGCUAGUAAUCGCGCAUCAGCCAUGGCGCGGUGAAUACGUUCCCGGGCCUUGUACACACCGCCCGUCAAGCCAUGGAAGCCGGGGGCGCUUGAAGUGCGUUGCCGCAAGGCGCGCCCUAGAGCGAAACCGGUGACUGGGGCUAAGUCGUAACAAGGUACC